AGUGGGGUUUCGACCCUAACC
This 21-nucleotide microRNA is filed under the name Dasypus novemcinctus (nine-banded armadillo). RNAcentral's name for it is "dno-miR-1296-3p". Lineage: Eukaryota; Metazoa; Chordata; Mammalia; Cingulata; Dasypodidae. The record is from miRBase by way of RNAcentral.